Acyrthosiphon pisum (pea aphid) is the source of this 138-nucleotide long non-coding RNA. RefSeq lists it as uncharacterized. The transcript has 2 exons. The record is from RefSeq and is a predicted model, not a curated record. NCBI's taxonomy places the organism in Eukaryota, Metazoa, Arthropoda, Insecta, Hemiptera, Aphididae.
UAUUAUAAUAGGAUGUCAUAUAUGCAAAAGAAUACACCUAGGAGAAUAUUGGUGCAAGCCUCCUCCAAUACCAGAAAAAAAAAUUCUCAAAUCCCGCUGGAUGGGAUAUUUGCGGGAGAAAAGAAAAAAGAAAGGAAG